RNAcentral lists this ribosomal RNA (447 nucleotides) under uncultured bacterium. RNAcentral describes it as "SSU rRNA". It matches the Rfam family "Bacterial small subunit ribosomal RNA", at positions 26 to 518 of the family's 1533-position model. The record is from RNAcentral.
AGAGCGAACGCUGGCGGCAGGCUUAACACAUGCAAGUCGAGCGGGCGUAGCAAUACGUCAGCGGCAGACGGGUGAGUAACGCGUGGGAACGUACCUUUUGGUUCGGAACAACCCAGGGAAACUUGGGCUAAUACCGGAUAAGCCCUUACGGGGAAAGAUUUAUCGCCGAAAGAUCGGCCCGCGUCUGAUUAGCUAGUUGGUGGGGUAAUGGCCCACCAAGGCGACGAUCAGUAGCUGGUCUGAGAGGAUGAUCAGCCACAUUGGGACUGAGACACGGCCCAAACUCCUACGGGAGGCAGCAGUGGGGAAUAUUGGACAAUGGGCGCAAGCCUGAUCCAGCCAUGCCGCGUGAGUGAUGAAGGCCCUAGGGUUGUAAAGCUCUUUUGUGCGGGAAGAUAAUGACGGUACCGCAAGAAUAAGCCCGGCUAACUUCGUGCCAGCAGCCGC